CCCUUAGAUGUCCGGGGCCGCACGCGCGCUACACUGAAGGAAUCAGCGUGGCUUUCUCCCUGACCCGAAAGGGUUGGGAAACCCGUUGAAUCUCCUUCGUGAUAGGGAUUGGGGCUUGAAAUUGUUCCCCAUGAACGAGGAAUUCCCAGUAAGCGCGAGUCAUAAGCUCGCGUUGAUUACGUCCCUGCCGUUUGUACACACCGCCCGUCGCUACUACCGAUUGAACGGUUUAGUGAGGGCCUCGGAUUGGUCUCGGCCCGCUCUUUACCGGGCGGCGCCGUUGGUCGAGAAGACGCUCGAACUUGAUCGUUUAGAGGAAGUAAAAGUCGUAACA
RNAcentral lists this ribosomal RNA (334 nucleotides) under uncultured eukaryote. RNAcentral's name for it is "partial 18S ribosomal RNA". It matches the Rfam family "Eukaryotic small subunit ribosomal RNA", at positions 1470 to 1796 of the family's 1831-position model. The record is from RNAcentral.